GCAAAGGCAAUGAAAAGAGCAGUAGUUAUAAAGGAAUACACAGAGAGUUUCCUAGUAGGUGAAAGGGAAGUUAGGAAUUUAUAAUGAAACAAGUCUUGGAGCUGCAUACGGAUCUUAUAAAAAUGUAUUAUAAGUGAUGCUAUGACGUUUGUUCACGUUACAGAACUAAAGUAUGAUUUUUUCUAGUAUUUUAGAAGGAUGGUGUACUUGAUGAGUCUAAGAUGGUGACAUUUUAGAAAAAAAGGGUGGUACCGCAAAAUAGAAUUUUGCCCCUGUA
RNAcentral lists this non-coding RNA (277 nucleotides) under Clostridium collagenovorans. RNAcentral describes it as "T-box sequence". It matches the Rfam family "T-box leader". Rfam says of the family: Uncharged tRNA acts as the effector for transcription antitermination of genes in the T-box leader family. T-boxes are found upstream of many aminoacyl-tRNA synthetase genes and some amino acid biosynthetic genes usually in Gram-positive bacteria. The anticodon of a specific tRNA base pairs to a specifier sequence within the T-box motif, and the NCCA acceptor tail of the tRNA base pairs to a conserved bulge in the T-box antiterminator hairpin. The record is from RNAcentral. Lineage: Bacteria; Bacillati; Bacillota; Clostridia; Eubacteriales; Clostridiaceae.